RNAcentral lists this ribosomal RNA (301 nucleotides) under uncultured bacterium. RNAcentral describes it as "partial 16S ribosomal RNA". It matches the Rfam family "Bacterial small subunit ribosomal RNA", at positions 509 to 807 of the family's 1533-position model. The record is from RNAcentral.
CAGCAGCCGCGGUAAUACGGAGGGUGCAAGCGUUAAUCGGAAUUACUGGGCGUAAAGCGCACGCAGGCGGUCUGUUAAGUCAGAUGUGAAAUCCCCGGGCUUAACCUGGGAACUGCAUUUGAAACUGGCAGGCUAGAGUCUUGUAGAGGGGGGUAGAAUUCCAGGUGUAGCGGUGAAAUGCGUAGAGAUCUGGAGGAAUACCGGUGGCGAAGGCGGCCCCCUGGACAAAGACUGACGCUCAGGUGCGAAAGCGUGGGGAGCAAACAGGAUUAGAUACCCCAGUAGUCCCUGUCUCUUAUAC